AUGGCAGGCACGGUGCUGAGCAUGGCGAGGUCCAUCAUGGGUGGCGCCAUUAGCAAGGCCGCCUCUGCGGCUGCGGAUGAGAUGAGCCUCCUCAUGGGUGUGCGCAAGGAUAUCUGGUUCAUCAAAGAUGAGCUGGCAACAAUGCAGGCUUUCCUGGUGGCUGCUGAAGCAAUGCAGGAGAAAGACAUGCUACUUAAGGUGUGGGCAGAACAAGUAAGGGAUUUGUCAUACAACAUUGAAGAUUGCCUUGGUGAAUUCAUGGUGCAUGUGGCAAGUCAAUUCUUGUCGCAGAAGCUGAUGAAGCUCAAAGACCGCCAUCGAAUCGCCAUGCAGAUCCGUGACCUCAAAUCAAGAGUUGAAGAAGUCAGUUGCAGGAACACACGCUACAACCUGGUUGAGAAGAACCAACUCACUAGAAGCAUUGAUGAGAGGGAUUGUUGCUGGGAAGAUAUCCGGAAUCAAUCAGCUAGCAACAUCAAUGAAGCUAACCUUGUGGGGUUUUCCAAGCCCAAGCAAGAGUUAAUAGAGCUUAUUGAUGUCCAUGCAAACCAUGGCCCCGCUCGGGUAGUAUGUGUGGUUGGCAUGGGUGGUUUGGGUAAGACUACUCUUACGAAGAAGGUUUAUGAAAGCAUGGAAAACUUUGCAUGUUGUGCUUGGAUCACUGUUUCCCAGUCAUUUGUCAGGAUGGAGCUUCUCAAAGUUAUGAUCAGAGAACUUUUUGGUGAUGAAGCAUUGGAGAAGCAACUUGAAGGGAAUGAAGUGCGAGAAGAGAACCUCGCCAACUAUCUCAGGCAAGAGUUGCUUGAGAAGAGGUACUUUGUUGUUCUUGAUGAUCUAUGGAACUUAGAUCACUGGAAGUGGAUAAAAACUGUUGCUUUUCCUAGUAGUAACAACAAAGGUAGUCGUAUAAUGAUAACUACACGAGAUGUUGGCUUAGCUAAGGAUUGUACUUUGGAAUCUUCUAGAUCACUUAUCUACCGCCAUGAACCCUUACAAACAAAGGAUGCCAUAAAAUUGCUAUUGAGGAAGACCAGGAAGUGUGAGGAAGAUAUGAAAAAUGAUGAUAACAUGAGGAAAAUAGUUACUAAGAUAGUGAAAAAGUCUGGACGGUUGCCCCUAGCCAUACUCACAAUAGGUGGCAUACUUGCCACGAGAAUGGUUAGUGAUUGGAAAAUUGUUUAUGAUCAGAUUCCCUUAGAGUUGGAGAGCAACCGAAGCCUUGAAGCAAUCAGGAGGAUGGUUACUCUGAGUUACAAUUAUUUGCCUUCUCAUCUUAAGUCAUGUUUUCUGUAUCUAAGCAUAUUUCCCAAGGAUUUUGAAAUCAAGAGGAGGCGGCUGGUGGAAAGAUGGAUAGCCGAGGGGUUUAUUCGCACCAUUCGUGGAGUGAGUGCUGAGGAUAUUGGAAAUAGUUACUUUAAUGAACUGAUCAACCGUAGCUUGAUUCAACCAUCAAGAGUGAACGUAGAAGGGAUUGUGAAGAGUUGCAGAGUACAUGAUAUCGUUCGCGAUGUCAUGAUCUCAAUUUCUAGUGAUGAAAAUUUUGCAUGCUCAACAUGUGAAAAUGUAGCCGGCAUAGCAGGGGAUAACUUCCGUCAUGUAUCAUUGCAAGGAUGUUGGUUCCCAAAUAAAGGCUUAGAUUGGAACCAUCUCCGGUCAUUAACUGUGUUUGGUGAGAGACCGAUGAAGCCGGCACCUUCAGUUUGUUCGCCUGGCUUUCGGAUGCUUAGAGUCUUGGAUCUACAAGAUGCCCAGUUCGGAAGGACACAAAAAGAGAUCGACGAUAUAGGGUUGUUACAUCAUUUGAAAUAUGUCAAUGUUAACCCUUCUUUUAAAAGUUUGUCAUUUAUUUACCAGCUGCCAAAAUCUAUUGGGAAACUUCAAGGCUUGCAAACUUUGGACAUAAGAAGGAGUUUUGUCACAUCACUACCAGCUGAAAUAACUAAACUACAAAGCCUUCGUAGCCUCCGAUGCAGCAACAUA
Molecule: ribosomal RNA, 1980 nt
Filed under: Triticum aestivum (bread wheat)
Lineage: Eukaryota; Viridiplantae; Streptophyta; Magnoliopsida; Poales; Poaceae
Description: partial small subunit ribosomal RNA
Source: RNAcentral